UUCCCUCACAAACUUAACCAUAUUUUGGUUAAGUGAGUGGAUGUGGCAGUUGGACUGAACAAGUCCAUCUGCUGAAGCCUUGCGAACACUUUGCAAAGCCUUUACUGGUAAGGCCAAGCUGUUUAAGUACCUUUCAAUGGGGUUAACUUCUUCGGAAUUUAACUCGUAUAAAGCUCUUCAUAAACAAGCAUGGCGUAUAGAGUAAAGGUGCCUUUGCUGUUAAGGCCAAGCUGUUUAAGUACCUUUCAAUGGGGUUAACUUCUUCGGAAUUUAACUCGUAUAAAGCUCUUCAUAAACAUGCAUGGCGUAUAGAGCAACGGCGAAUGCUUGCUGUUAAGGCCAAUCUGUUUAAGUACCUUUCAAUGGGGUUAACUUCUUCGGAAUUUAACUCGUAUAAAGCUCUUCUUAAACAUGAAUGGUGUAUAGAGCAAUGCAGCGCAAAGAUGUUUUAACUAAGGAAACUUACUCAAACUUC
Molecule: unclassified non-coding RNA, 475 nt
Filed under: Chloromonas kasaiae
Lineage: Eukaryota; Viridiplantae; Chlorophyta; Chlorophyceae; Chlamydomonadales; Chlamydomonadaceae
Description: ITS2
Source: RNAcentral